CUUGGCGCUGAGAGGAAGUGCAGACGACGCAUGUAGUUUGACUGACGAACGGCGGAAAAAUAAAUAUGGAAAACGUGGAGGAGUUAAGGAGAGUGUUCAACAAGAACUUUUAGCAAUUGCUCAGUAUGUGGAAGAAAAUGUUCAGCCGGACUACAUUCUGAGGAUGGUAGAAGAUGUCAGCAAAAGUCAUGGGCAAAUAUCUGCUCUGACCGAUACAGACAUUGAUCCGGUUGUGUGGCACACUCUUGAAGAGGUACGCAUGCAACUAAGUCUUGCAGCCAGGCCAUCAGACCUGGGCGACGUCCACUGGAAGUCCAGGUGGACAUAAUGGAGUCCUACAUUCUUGCAGGAUUAUCAGCUGUCAAAAUAGCUGAACUGUUUGGAGUGUCAGUUAGAACCAUAAGAAGGAGAAUGGCAUCCCAUGGCUUGAGAUGCCGAAUCGUGAUCCAUGCAGGAGUGGAUGGAUUUAGCAGGCUCAUAGUUUAUAUAGGAGCAGCUACAAACAACAAAUCCACCACUGUUCUGGACAGUUUCAGGUCAGCUGUUGCUCAGUAUGGCUUACCAUCUCGUGUAAGAUCUGAUAAGGUAAAGUGAAAUAUUGCAUUGACAAAAAUAAAACGUCCUGCAUUGAGACAACAAAAGUACUAAAGAACAGAACUUUUGAAAAACAGUAUUCCUUUUUUUCUUUUUGCCUAUUUAUAUAUUAAUUUCCUGAAGGGUGGGGAAAAUGUUGCUGUGGCCCAUUACAUGGUGAGUCAGAGAGGAACAGGCCGACAUUCCCACAUCACUGGACGCAGUGUACAUAAUCAAAGAUGAUACAUGGUUGUGUAACAAAUUAGGAUCAUGAAUAUCAGAUAUAUUUUUAAAAUACUGAAAAGGAAAUUCCUGUUAUAUACAUGCAAUUGCAAAUUUGGACUAAUUGUUUUUGUGUUUUUUUUAAUCUACAGAAUUGAAAGAUUAUGGAGAGACGUGUAUGGAAAUGUCCUCGACUUGUUCCAUACACUAUUUCUCAAUUUGGAAUUGGAAGGGUUUCUAAACCCUGACAAUGAACUGGAGUUAUUCGCUCUCCACUGGAUCUACGUCCCACAGCUGCAGCAGCAUCUUCAGGCAUUCAAGGAAGCCUGGAAUCACCAUAGUUUGAGGACAGAGAGAGGGCAAUCCCCCAUGCAACUGUGGCUUAGUCAGCCACGGGAGGGAAAUGCUGCUGAUCCAGUUGAGGUUGCUGCUGAUUAUGGAAUAGACUGGACAGGACCUCACACCCCAUACCCAGAGGGUGUCACUGUACCUGAUGCACAACUACCCCAGCAGCUUACCCAAGCUGAAGUUACGUCAUUGUCUGAUCCGGCAGUCCCUUUUUCUGCUGCACUACGGGCGUACAUGGAUACAGUGUAUAUUCUUAAGGACAUUUUUCAACAAACCUAGGCCUAUCACAACUCACCUUAACAUGAUCAGAAUGAAACCGUUUGAAAUGGUCGAACAAGACUUGAAAGAAUGCUGCAAAUUUUUGGUGCAUAAUUUUAUGACCAGUUGUGAAUUUCAAAUAAAUGCCUGUGAAAACAAAAAUGUAAAAAAACAAGACACAACAAAGGGAUACAAAACUGCUUUUAUUGCAUGCUGAAUAAUUUGACAGCUUUUAAAAGCAUUAAAACAAUGUGCAAAUAAAAAUUUUUUU
Molecule: long non-coding RNA, 1672 nt
Organism: Amphiprion ocellaris (clown anemonefish)
Lineage: Eukaryota; Metazoa; Chordata; Actinopteri; Pomacentridae
Source: Ensembl